This 400-nucleotide ribosomal RNA is filed under the name uncultured bacterium. RNAcentral describes it as "partial 16S ribosomal RNA". It matches the Rfam family "Bacterial small subunit ribosomal RNA", at positions 338 to 735 of the family's 1533-position model. The record is from RNAcentral.
CCUACGGGAGGCAGCAGUGAGGAAUAUUGGUCAAUGGGCGCGAGCCUGAACCAGCCAAGCAGCGUGAAGGAUGACUGCUCUAUGGGUUGUAAACUUCUUUUGUACAAGGAUAAACCUAGAUACGUGUGCUUUGCUGAAUGUACUUUACGAAUAAGGAUCGGCUAACUCCGUGCCAGCAGCCGCGGUAAUACGGAGGAUCCGAGCGUUAUCCGGAUUUAUUGGGUUUAAAGGGUGCGUAGGUGGGUUGUUAAGUUAGUGGUGAAAUGUUCGGGCUUAACUCGAGAACUGCAUUUGAUACUGGCAGUCUUGAGUGCAGAUGAGGUAGGCGGAAUUCAUGGUGUAGCGGUGAAAUGCUUAGAUAUCACGCAGAACACCGAUUGCGAAGGCAGCUUACUAAACU